GUCGAACGGUAUGCAUGGUGCUUGCACUGUGCUGAGAGUGGCGAACUGGUGAGUAACACGUAUGUGAUCUACCUUGAGGCCUGGGAUAGCCUGUGGAAACACAUGGUAAGACCGGAUGAGCCCCUGUACUUGCGGGUAGAGGGGGAAAGGUGCUAUGGCACCGNCUUAAGAUGAGCCUGCGUCCCAUUAGUUAGUUGGUGGGGUAAAGGCCUACCAAGGCGACGAUGGGUAGCCGGCCUGAGAGGGUGAUCGGCCACACUGGGACUGAGACACGGCCCAGACUCCUACGGGAGGCAGCAGCUAAGAAUCUUCCGCAAUGGACGAAAGUCUGACGGAGCGACGCCGCGUGAACGAAGAAGGCCGGAAGGUUGUAAAGUUCUUUUGCGGGUGAAGAAUAAGGCGAGGAGGGAAUGCCUCGCUGAUGACGUUAGCCUGUGAAUAAGCCCCGGCUAAUUACGUGCCAGCAGCCGCGGUAACACGUAAGGGGCGAGCGUUGUUCGGAAUUAUUGGGCGUAAAGGGCGUGUAGGCUGUUUUGUAAGCCUGGUGUGAAAGUGCACGGCUUAACUGUGUAUGUGCGCUGGGAACUGCAAGACUAGAGUCCGGAAGGGGGAGGUAGAAUUCCUGGUGUAGGGGUGAAAUCUGUAGAUAUCAGGAAGAAUACCGGUGGCGAAGGCGACCUCCUGGUCCUGGACUGACGCUGAGGCGCGAAAGCGUGGGGAGCGAACAGGAUUAGAUACCCUGGUAGUCCACGCUGUAAACGAUGUGCACUAGGUGUUGGGGCAAGAGCUUCAGUGCCGAAGCGAACGCGAUAAGUG
RNAcentral lists this ribosomal RNA (816 nucleotides) under uncultured organism. RNAcentral's name for it is "bacterial SSU rRNA". It matches the Rfam family "Bacterial small subunit ribosomal RNA", at positions 61 to 866 of the family's 1533-position model. The record is from RNAcentral.